CAACUUUCAACAACGGAUCUCUUGGUUCUGGCAUCGAUGAAUAACGCACCGAAAUGCGAUACGUAUUGUGAAUUGCAAAAUUCAUUGAAUCAUCUAAUCUUUGAACGCACAUUGCGCCCUUUGGUAUUCCAAAGGGCAUGCCUGUUCCAGCGUCAUUU
RNAcentral lists this ribosomal RNA (158 nucleotides) under Alternaria sp. RNAcentral's name for it is "5.8S ribosomal RNA". It matches the Rfam family "5.8S ribosomal RNA". From Rfam's summary of the family: 5.8S ribosomal RNA (5.8S rRNA) is a component of the large subunit of the eukaryotic ribosome. It is transcribed by RNA polymerase I as part of the 45S precursor that also contains 18S and 28S rRNA. Lineage: Eukaryota; Fungi; Ascomycota; Dothideomycetes; Pleosporales; Pleosporaceae. The record is from RNAcentral.